UGUUUUGGGUUUGUGGCUUAAGAAGUUUUGAUAACACACCAUUGUUUUGGCUAUUGCUGAACAGUGCUUGCACAGCAUCAAAUCUUUUCCUUUUUCCCACCCUGUUCCCAGUCCUUGCUAGGAGGUCAACUUGUUUGGAGGUCAACAAGAGACUGGGAGGAGGGACAGAUAGGACAGCUGUCCUGAAUUGUCCGAAGGGAUAUUGCCUGCCAUAUAAUGUCAUGCUUAGCAAUAAAAAGUGGGGUAGAGGAGGAAGAAGGAGGUUUGGGGCUUCAAAGGUGGCCAGUGCCAUCAGAGACUGGAUGGGCACUGGUCUGCUUGUGAGAGAUGGGUAGGGGUGAGUGAGUGGCUGUGUGGAUUAUUGCAUACUGGAGGAUAUCAACCCACCACAGUAGCAGUUGUUCUCUGUUCCUAAACAACAUAUGAAAGAAGAAACGAGCCAAAUGUAAGCCACAUAAAUUGGAAGUAAAACAACACAAAAAUGCUAACUUCUGAGGAAAUAAUAGAGAAAUGAGUGUUAAAUUACCUACAUCGACUGGAUGUUCUGGCAGAGCACCUCAAUAAUGUUUUGCUGAUUCUCAUGACCUCUGUAUCCGAUGAUGCUUUGCCUAUCCAUUCCACAUGCAAAGAAGAGAUUCUUGUCCAAAGUCAUAUCUAUGAAGCUGUAUUUAAUGUGCUCCUGAGCAAUCCAUCUGAGUGCUGUGCCUGUGGCAAUAUCACAGGAAAUGCCAAUGCACAGCACGGAAAAUGUCAGCUUUCUACGAGACAAGCAAAGAAAUGCUAUUCCUUUAUGCUAUAAUAUGAUGCCUCAUGCAGUUUUCUUGGAGACAAAAAGCCCAAAGAGAGCAGGAAGGAGGAAGAGGAGGAUUCCAGGCCCUGAGAGCAGCCAGGCAGAGCGGCGUGUCCCUGGCACAGGAGGAGUGGAGGACAUGCGUUCCUCUGGGAUUAUGCAGAGCUGCUGGAAGUGAAGCUUGAAAACCGGCAGAACGGAAGCUUGGAAACUGAGCCCUGGACUGAAGCUGGUAAUUUACCUUAUUUGAAAUAAAAACAGCUUAAGUUGAAGCCAGCCGGAAAUUCAGAUGACUUGAAGCUGCGAGCAAAAUUAGCAUAGCACUCUGCAGGUUGAAACAUGGGGGAAGCAGAGUGAGGGACUGAGCCUUGACGGCUGCCAGGGUAAGGAAGCUGCUGCUUCUUCUGCACUCUUAUUCAAAAUUAUCCCUUAAAGCUAAAAUCAUUGCAAGACCAGGCUAGAAGACCAUAAUAGUGCCUGCUGGCCUUAACAGCAACAAGCAAAAAAAAAAAAAAGAUGACUGCAGCAGAGUUAUCAUUAAAAGGAAUAAGAGUAUGACCAGCCCCCCAGAUGGGUAGAGCAUGGUAAGUACUAAUGACAGACCGAAACAUCUCAGCCAGGAGUCUGUCAAUGUAAAUCAAUGCAGCUAUGCCUCUGUGAAGCUAGGCCAGUUUAUUCCAUUAAGAACACAGAUCUUGAAUGCAAGUAUGUAUAGCCUAUGCCUGCAAAGUGCACUGUGCUGGGGGCAGGGGGGCUGGGAGAUGAGAGAGCCACGGUCUGCCGUAUCAUGUUGAAAGACCCAGGAUAUCUCUUCUGUCUUUGCUGGGGUAUCAGAAGCCAUCUAAUCAUAGCAGUGGCCAGACAGGCUAACUCAGCCAUGCGAGCUAAUGUAUCCUGCUGCUGCUUUUAGACUAAUUCCAGUCCCCAAGCUAAUUCUUGCAAAGCUUGCUUGUAGAGUUAGCCUGUAUAAUUCAACACUACAUUGCAUUGGCAAACCCUUAAGGAGCUUGACUGCGUAUGUGUGCAAGUGAGAGAGCACAGUUCGGUGAUGCUGUGCUCACAGGGCUGUGUAUGUCUGGUGAUGUUAUUUGCCCGUGUACUAAUGACCAAGGAUCCAUUUGUUCACGAACUAGCCCAUAUGUCAGUAUGUCAGUUAAUUUGAAAGACAUAGUGAUUAAUGUAACCAGUUAUAAUAGGGCACAAAGGAUUCUGCUUCUGAGUAUUUUCCCUGCACUUACACUAGCAACAAUUAAGAUAACCUCUCUUUUCUGUUUGAAACAAGUUCUUUCUCAAGCAUGGAUAUUUUCCAUCUGUGUGCCAGGAUGCCAUUCAUUGUUACUGCAAGCAGAAUAAGAUCAUGUUGUGUCUGAACUCUGUAAGGUUCUUACUACAAGGUAACAUUUUUCCAAGGCCUGAAGUGACCUUCCUGGACUACAAGUACCGAGGAAUACUUGCAGAAAUGAUCUCUUGAAAAAAGAUCCAGAAUGUAUACUUUCAUAUGGAACAUGCAGAGUGGUCACAGUGUCCUUGAUGUGCCAUCUACUGCCCUUUUACUGAGUUGGUCAAUGUUUUGAUACCAUAUACAAAUGUCUUGGGAUCUCUGCUGUUUUUACAGGAACAAGCAGCAGGAUGGAAUGUGUGAUCAGCAAGUUCACCAGUGUCUGCAGUGAAGCAUAAACAUGAAUGAGCCUAGACAUGCUUAGAAGGCCAAGAAAGUACUAAUAACACUUGCUCAGUAUUUUUAAUGAAGUUGUUUGGAUCAGUAAGAAUGUAGAAGUUGCCUCCCACUUGAGGAAAAAGCACAUAUCCACACUGGGUCAGCUGAGGAGAGCAGUGACAGCAAACAUAGGUUUUCGAAGCAAGGCAUUUCUGUGUGAUUAUCUUCUGCUGCUAAAACACAGGCCCUGGCUGAUAUUUUGAAAUGAGCCAUGUUUUGUGUGUACAGCAUUCUACUCACAUAAAAGGUGCAAAAGAUACAUGGUGGGUUUUUUAAAAAAAAUAUCUGCUUUUCCAGAGAAAAAUACUGUUGCAAACACAAAAGUUUUUCCAGGCUUGCCCUGGGCACUCCUUGAAAUAGACUAUAUGGACAAUACGCAAUGAAACCUCCGACUGUCUCAAGGAGAUAUUCAUCUUGCCUCUCCUUGGCAAGCUGUGUUUCCUGUCCAGCCUCACUGGAUUUAUUGUCUCAUUGUGGUGGAUGAAAAAGCCAGGCUAGUGACAGGCCAUAUACGGGCAUGGAACAACCAAGAAUAACUAGAAUAGCAAGAAAGAAAAAAAAAAAAAAGAAAAAGAAAAAAAAAAAAAAAACAACA
Anas platyrhynchos (mallard) is the source of this 3102-nucleotide long non-coding RNA. RefSeq lists it as uncharacterized. The record is from RefSeq and is a predicted model, not a curated record. Lineage: Eukaryota; Metazoa; Chordata; Aves; Anseriformes; Anatidae.